AACGAACGCUGGCGGCAGGCCUAACACAUGCAAGUCGAGCGAGAAAGGUUCUUCGGAACUGAGUAGAGCGGCGCACGGGUGAGUAACGCGUGGGAACGUACCAUAUAGUACGGAAUAGCCUCGGGAAACUGGGAUUAAUACCGUAUACGCCCUUAGGGGGAAAGAUUUAUCGCUAUAUGAUCGGCCCGCGUGACAUUAGUUUGUUGGUGGGGUAAUGGCCUACCAAGACUACGAUGUCUAGCUGGUUUGAGAGGAUGAUCAGCCACACUGGAACUGAGACACGGUCCAGACUCCUACGGGAGGCAGCAGUGAGGAAUAUUGCACAAUGGGGGAAACCCUGAUGCAGCCAUGCCGCGUGUGUGAUGAAGGCCCUAGGGUUGUAAAGCACUUUCAAUGGUGAAGAUAAUGACGGUAACCAUAGAAGAAGCCCCGGCUAACUUCGUG
RNAcentral lists this ribosomal RNA (444 nucleotides) under uncultured bacterium. Its description in RNAcentral is "bacterial SSU rRNA". It matches the Rfam family "Bacterial small subunit ribosomal RNA", at positions 29 to 507 of the family's 1533-position model. The record is from RNAcentral.